AUUGAACGCUGGCGGCAGGCCUAACACAUGCAAGUCGAACGAGUGGCGGACGGGUGAGUAAUGUCUGGGAAACUGCCUGAUGGAGGGGGAUAACUACUGGAAACGGUAGCUAAUACCGCAUACCAUCAGAUGUGCCCAGAUGGGAUUAGCUAGUUGGUGGGGUAACGGCGCACCAAGGCGACUAUCCCUAGCUGGUCUGAGAGGAUGACCAGCCACACGUGAACUGAGACGCGGUCCAGACUCCUGCGGGAGGCAGCGGUGGGGGAUAGUGCACAAUGGGCGCAAGCCUGAUGCAUCCGUGCCGCGUGUAUGAAGAGGGCCUUCGGGUUGUAAAGUACUUUCAGCGGGGAGGCGUUACCCGCAGAAGAAGCACCGGCUAACUCCGUGCCAGCCGCCGCGGUAAUAC
Molecule: ribosomal RNA, 406 nt
Filed under: uncultured bacterium
Lineage: Bacteria
Description: partial 16S ribosomal RNA
Rfam family: Bacterial small subunit ribosomal RNA
Source: RNAcentral